GACGAAGGAUGCAAGCGUUAUCCGGAUUCAUUGGGUUUAAAGGGUGCGUAGGCGGCCAGAUAAGUCAGUGGUGAAAUCUCCUUGCUUAACAAGGAAACUGCCAUUGAUACUGUUUGGCUUGAGUAUAGUUGCUGUGGGCGGAAUAUGGCAUGUAGUGGUGAAAUACAUAGAGAUGUCAUAGAACCCCGAAUGCGAAGGCAGCUCACAAAGCUAUAACUGACGCUGAGGCACGAAAGUGCGGGGAUCAAACAGG
Molecule: ribosomal RNA, 253 nt
Filed under: uncultured bacterium
Lineage: Bacteria
Description: partial 16S ribosomal RNA
Rfam family: Bacterial small subunit ribosomal RNA
Source: RNAcentral